CCAUUAAUCAAGAACGAAAGUUAAGGGAGUGAAGACGAUCAGAUACCGUCGUAAUCUUAACCAUAAACUAUGCCGACUAGGCUUUGGAUGAAAGAUUUUAAAAUAAGAGUUUUUCUUUUCUCUCCGGAGAUUAGAACUCUUAGAUUGCUUCCUUCAGUGCCUUAUGAGAAAUCAAAGUCUUUGGGUUCUGGGGCGAGUAUUCGCGCAAGCGAGAAAGUUAAAAGAAUUGACGGAAGGGCACCACCAGGCGUGGAGCUUGCGGCUUAAUUUGACUCAACACGGGAAAACUCACUAGUUUAAGACAAGAGUAGGAUUGACAGAUUAAUAGCUCUUUCUUGAUUUCUUGGAUGGUGAUGCAUGGCCGUUUUUAGUUCGUGAAUAUGAUUUGUCUGGUUAAUUCCGAUAACGAACGAGAUCUUAACCUGCUAAUUAGCGGCAAAUACGAUAUAUUCUUAUGUAGAAUUGAAUAUAGUGGAUUUGUUAGAUUUUGAAGAAAAUAUUGGAAUUACGUUAAAUGUGAUUCCUUUCCC
Molecule: ribosomal RNA, 530 nt
Filed under: Plasmodium knowlesi
Lineage: Eukaryota; Apicomplexa; Aconoidasida; Haemosporida; Plasmodiidae
Description: SSU rRNA
Rfam family: Eukaryotic small subunit ribosomal RNA
Source: RNAcentral